RNAcentral lists this ribosomal RNA (403 nucleotides) under uncultured Lachnospiraceae bacterium. RNAcentral's name for it is "partial 16S ribosomal RNA". The record is from RNAcentral. Lineage: Bacteria; Bacillati; Bacillota; Clostridia; Lachnospirales; Lachnospiraceae.
CACGUAGUUAGCCGGGGCUUCUUAGUCAGGUACCGUCAUCUUCUUCCCUGCUGAUAGAGCUUUACAUACCGAAAUACUUCUUCACUCUCGCGGCGUCGCUGCAUCAGGGUUUCCCCCAUUGUGCAAUAUUCCCCACUGCUGCCUCCCGUAGGAGUUUGGGCCGUGUCUCAGUCCCAAUGUGGCCGGUCACUCUCUCAAGCCGGCUACUGAUCGCUGCCUUGGUAGGCCGUUACCUGCCAACUAGCUAAUCAGACGCGGGCCCAUCCUGUACCACCGGUAGUUUUCACACCGUGCCAUGCGGCACUGUGCGCUUAGUGCGGUAUUAGCACCUAUUCUGGGUGUUACUCCCCGGUACAGGGCAGGUUCGCCCACGUCGUUACUCACCCGUCCGCCACUCAGUCAC